Molecule: long non-coding RNA, 7663 nt
Filed under: Sarcophilus harrisii (Tasmanian devil)
Lineage: Eukaryota; Metazoa; Chordata; Mammalia; Dasyuromorphia; Dasyuridae
Description: lncRNA (ENSSHAG00000027449.1)
Source: RNAcentral
GAUGGCCUGAUCCAUCAGGACUGGUCAUCAUCUAGUAUUGUUGUUGAAGUAUAUAAUGAUCUCCUGGUCCUGCUCAUUUCACUUAGCAUCAGUUCGUGCAAGUCUCUCCAGGCCUUUCUGAAAUCAUCCUGUUGGUCAUUUCUUACAGAACAGUAAUAUUCCAUAAUUUUCAUAUACCGACAUAUUCUUUUGAUUAUUGCCCCAACUGUGGCAAAUUUCCAUUCAUCCUUUGAGAAUAUUUUUUAAAAUUAAAAAUUAAAAUUAAAAAAUUAAAAUGAUUUUUUAAAAAAGAAACUGCAAAAAUUCACCUCAGAUGAAUGAGUUAGGUGAUCAAGCUGGAUAAGACAGGACUGAACAGAAAUAAAGCACAGAUAUAAAGUUUUAAGGGAACUAAUUUUAUGUGUAUUUGUAAGUCAUUCCAAAGGACUCCUAGAGUUGUUUGGGAUUGAUGAGAGCAUUGUUGAAAUCAGUGUCAAUACUAAAAUUCUCACUGUGCCUGAGGGGCCACAGAAUGAUUAAGUGAAUUGCCUCAGCUUUUAAAUGGCAGAGUGAAUGGAAACCAAAAUAAAAUUGCAUUUCUAUAGAAAUUCCCAUUGGUCCAUGGACUGGACAAUCAAAGGCUAGUGAUGAGAUUGAGAAGGGUAUGAUAUAGAUUGAAAUAGUUGAUCCAGACUCAUGCUCCCCCCUAAUAGAAUGAUUCUCAUCCAAGUAAUAUGGGAAAUUUAAUUAUAAAUUAGAUGAAUAAUUUUAAACAAAUACACCAGAAAUUCAAAUUCUUUUGAAUCCAGAUCUAUAUGAGUCUAAUCCUAGAACUCUUAACUUCCUUCAUAUUUCCUUUCCACUAGAAUAAGUGUAUGAGCUCCCAAAUAUGUUUUGAAGAGGAAAGUACUCAUUCUGGAUACUUAUGUGUUUGCUUUAAAAUGUGAUUGUGUAUUGUCUCUACUGAAUACAUAUUGAGAGCAGAAAGCAAGAAAAUAGCUUCUUUCUAUUCCUGAUGAUGAUAUUUUCCCCUCCCCAUCUUCCCCCAACAGUUCUUGGAAAACGCCUUUCACUUUAAAGAAUCUACAGGGAAUUAGUUCUCUAGAAAGCGUCUGAUGGCCUUCUGAAAGCCAUGUAUAAGGGAAGAUGGGUUAGGUAUCUAGGAAGGAAAGCAAGGAACAGAGAGAAGCAAUGAAAAGUUUAGAAAAAGCCAAGAACAAGAAGAAAGGAGAGUGCUUGUGUUUCAGGAUGGGGUUUUUUUGUGGCAUGUCAUGGAUAUUUCACAUUUAUCCCCAAAGGAGUCACUUAGAACACCUAACUCUAGACAAAGUACACAGAUGGUUAGAGAAGACUGGCUAUUUUUGUUCAGCUUUGUCUGGGAUGAACAACCCAGAGAUGUGCUCAUCCGAAAAAAAUUUCUGCUUGCUAUAAGGGCACAUAGCAGCAAACAGUAGCAGAAGCAGCAGCAGAAAAAAAAAGUGUGAAUUCUAAGGAGAUUUAGCAACAAGACGCACCUCAUUAAAAGAUGGAGCAGUUCACCUCAGAAAUGGGCUUUGAAGAACUUGAGAAAGGUUCCAAAACUUGGAUAAUUUUUCCUAUUUAUGGGUGUCCUAAGUCUCACUGGUUAGGACCACCUGAGAAAGGCAGUCCAUUACACUGUUAUCAGUCAUUUAUAAUGAGUGCAGAUUUUGACAAGAAAUACAGUGCAGUACACCUGUAUUAGAUAUGAUCCUUAAGGUACAGAGAGAGUACAGGUAUCAAGCUUGCUUCACAAUUGUGUCUAGAUGGGUCUGGUCAUAUUUUAUUCUCCACAUAACAGUAUACCCUCAUCUAGAACAUAGUCAAAAGGCAAAAACUCUAAAAUUACCUCAAAGAGAACUAUACAUAUUUUUAAAAGGUCAUACCAUAUGAGUAGACUAGUAAAAUUAUAAAACACCAGAUCUUGAAGCUGCCUUAGCAAUCAUCUAGUCCAUCUCCCUAAUUUUUAGAAAAGAGGAAACUGAAUCCCAGAAAUUUCAAGUAACUUGAAAGUGACUCAGGUUUCUAGCUGAAGAACCUGCCCCACAAUCCAUGUUUCUCUUCCCGACCUAGCCCAGUGUUUUUGCCACUUCUUUAUAUCUCCCCAGGUACCUCAGAAUCUACAAAACUAUUUUUCACAUCAUCACAUAAGACAUCUUGAUGAUAGCUUCAUGUUAACUGCCUUACAAGAUAGAUAAUGAAUCAGUUUCUGCAGGUUGUUUUUUGCAGAUGUCACCCCUAGCUUCAUAGAUUUUUUAAAAAUAUUUUCCAGUCAUAGACAUGUUUGUGCCAAUCUUCUCUGGGCUAUUGUGUCCUCAUAUAAAAUUAGAAGAUUGAACCAAAUAACCUCUAAGGUCUUUUCUGACCCCAAAUUCCUGCAAUCACUCUAUAUUCCCUGACCUUAUUAAUAACACAGUCUAGGUUGGAGCCCAAGUCUGUAAUUAUGGAAUAGAAGAAAGCUAAAUGAUCCAUAUAGCAAUGAAACCCAUUGUAAAGAGUACAAAGUACUACUUUGUGAAGAGAGAGCCCCAUAUUGAAAGUCAGAAAACUUGUGUUCAAGUCUUAGCUUUUCUGCUUAAUUAUCUAUGUGAUUUUGUGCUCUCUGAGUCUUGGUUUCGUCAUCUAUAAAUGAGAGAGUUGGACUAGAUGACAUCCUUCUAGUCUUAAAUAGUUAUGAUAUCAUUCUUUUCUAUAAACUUGGCAUCAUUAGCAUAAUGCUUGAAUCAAAUGAGCAUGUUGAACCACAGGAAAAUGAUGAUUGAGAUACUAAGAACUCAGUAUCUGGCCAGUGAUAUAGCCAGAAGAAAGCUUUAUGAACUUUUUUCUGGGUUCUUUUUUUGGGGGGUGGGGGAAUGGUAUCUCAAUCUAAUUAUAGACAUAAGGAAACAGAUCAGUGACCCACUAAUUUGGGGGAAUAUACACACAUACACACACACACACAAAUGUGAAUUUUGGCAGACUUAUUUUCUCCUUUUCAUCUUUAAGCUUUUUACCUCUAAAACAGGUGUAAAAAUCCAAAUUAAUGCAUGGUAUUGCAAGGAUGAUAGAAAAGGAAAAAUGAGAGUAAAGCAACUUGUAAAUAUAAAGUGUCAUCCUAAUGAUGCAUUGUUCCAUUGGUCCUGAGACAGGAAAACCCAUAUCAUCACUCUUCCCUUCUAGUUAUUGCAAAGCCCUACUAAAUCCCCGUGAUUUCAGUGAUCUUGGGAACUGUCAGAUGAGGAAAACUCCCUCUGUGAAUUCAGUUCACUUCUUAGCAAAUUAUGCAAGAGCUGUCCGAUGUACCCAGGGUCACACAGCCACUAUUAUUCAGUGGUGAUACUUGAACCUAAGUCUUCAUGAUUUUGAGACUGAGUUACUAUCUCUUUCACAAUACUGUCUCUUCUGAGCAUGUAUAAUACAAGAAUUUACAAAGGAUCUUGAAUCUGAAUCUGUAAUGGAAUCCCUUCUUUGCAGAUAUCCCCAUACUGUAGUCUCAGUGAAAACUGUACUAGUAUUCUGGGCAGAGAAAAAUCUAUUUUGUUUUUUAAGCUCCUCCAGAGAAGGAGAUUCCAUAACCUUCAGUCACCUCUCCAGGGUUUUUCCCCUUAUUUCUAAUGCCAACUCUGCAUAAGUCAAUUUGAAUAACUUUCCUCUCAUUUUCCCCAGAGAUGGUAGAACAGAGCUGACCAUAUGGGCCAGUUAGCAUAUAUGAGCUAGAACAAUUAGCUAUUAACAGAGCCACAUAGUGUCCAUUCUGUAUUCACCUCCCUUCUCCACCUCAGCCCCACCUUUGCUGCACAUGAGAGGAAAAAAACAAUAUUCUAGGUAAUUUUACUGAAUUUCUAUUUCAUCCUUAAGAAAAGUUCUUUUUCUAGGAAUCAUACAUUUUAUUUUGAGCUAUAAUGGGAACAUAGGUGAUUUUGUCUGAUGUAGAGAAUUACAUGUUGGAGAAGACGGGAUCCUGAUGAAGAGUCCAUAGCAGCUUUGGAGAUAUUAUGCUCCCCAAGGUAAAUUCAGGCUGUAGGUCCCUCCAGAAGACUGAACAAGACACUGUUGUCUUUAAGAAAUAUGGGCCUCUGACUCUGCUUUAUUCAUAGCAUUGGGGUCCAGUAUAAUGAGAUUACUUUAUUAUCACAUGGAGUGAUGUUUAAGGUUGUAAAACUCAGCUGAAAAUAGGGGAACUAUUUUCCUUCUGAUAGCAUAUUUGUUCAGUACUGAUAACUAAGAUAUGGGUUUCAAAAGAAAUUGAAUGCAGGGUUUCAAAAACCAUCCUACUAUCUGUUUGGCAAACAGUGGCCUUGGUGAAUUUAAACUAAUUUAUUUAGUUCCAAAGGACUAGGUACUACAUUUUGAGAUGUUUUGUAUUCCCUUCUCCCUUUCUCCCAUUUCUUCCCCUUUCUCUUUCCAACUAAGCUUUUCUUUUUCUUUUAGAGGUCAUCUAUAAACUUUCUAGCCUGUGUUUCUGUGUGUGUUUUCAUGUGAGCGUGUUGAUGUGUUUCCUGUAAAAAGAAGCGAUUUCAUUAGUUCAUUUUCAUCCUGUUCCUUGCCCCCAUCCACAGUGUGACUACUUUGCUAUCUGAGAUAUCUGUAAAAAAAAAAAAAAAAAAAAAAAAAAAAAAAAAAAAAAAUUUAAAAAGUGUGCAAAAUAAAAGUUGACUAGAAAUUGAAAAAAAGAGAAGAAAGAGUAAGAAAGUAGAUCUGUUCAAUAUAACGACGUUUUCAGCUUUCUGGAGCAGUAUAGGGUCUAUCCUGAAAUCAUGUCACUAGUUUCUUAUUUUCCUUUUUUCUGUCUUCAUCUCAUUUCAGAUUAAAGGGAGAGAGAAAUCAUUAGUUCUCGUGCCAUUAAAAUUGUGGGGUUAUAGACUUAGAAGAGAUCUUGAAAAUCAUGUACUUGAAACUCUUCAUUUUAUAAAAUGAAAAACUAAGACUCUGGGAGAAUAAGUCCCAUCUCACACAGUUAGAGGAAGCGUCUAGACUAAAACCCAGUUCUACAGGCUAGGACCCUUUCCAUUAUACCACAAUGCCCUUCUAUUUUUCUUCUGGCAACUUUUCUAGAUGUUAGUUAUCAGCUGUGAAACUGUUCUAAAGGGUUCUUGUUUAAAAUCUGCUUUCCAAAAGACAAAACCAGCACAAGCUGGCAGGGUAAGAUUUAGCUCAAUAGACUGGAAAUUAAGCUUUGCCGAUACCAUUCAUAGCUUUGGCAGGGGUCUUGGAUGAGUCACUUUACCUCACCAUGUCUCAAUUUCCUUCUCUGCUCCACUGACUUCCAGGUCACUUUGAAAUACAAAGUAUGUAGUAUAGUCUAAUUCCUGCUUUCCACUAUACUGUUCUUCCUUGGUGAGAUGCUUUUCCUCAUGGCACUGAGCUUAAUUCAGAGCAUUACUCUUGCCUCCAUCCCACUAGUCUCAACUCCCUGUUGAGGUCAAUAAUCUUAAACAGCAGCCAGUUCAUGCUCUAGGUCCAAAGCCUUUUAUCUACCUUUUUCAUUCUCAACUGCCUUUCCCCACCUACUUUUAUUGUCUUUCCAAAGGCACGUUGAUGUCCUAGAAUAGGAGAGAGUACAAUGAUUUAAAUAAAGUAAAGAGUUCAGUAAACAAUGGUAACCAAAUAGGACCCAUUCCCUAUUGCAUGCCCAUGAAAAGGGAUUUAGGAUGAUACAGCUUGAAUGGAGGUGAGCAGGCACAAAUCAAACAGAACAGGGAAUCAUUAAAAAAUAAUGUCAAUUUUGGGAGGAGAGGGAGCUGCUGAAAAAGGAAUAAAAAAUUAGUAAUAGUAAUUAAAAUUAAAAGGAGUAAAAAUAAGGAAUAAUAAAAAAGAGGAGUAAAAAAAUUUUUUUAAAAAGGGAUUCAUCCUUGCUUGAUUUAGUAUUUAGCACUAGGAGAAAAGAUGUUUAAAGGGGGACAGGUUAGGUGCCAAUUGGGGAUGGGAGAGACACAGAGAAUCUAAAUUGGCAUUGCCCAUCCCUAAGACCGGAGGUAGGAGUAUACAACUAGUUUGGCAAGCAACCCAAACUUCACUUGAAAACUCAUUCCUUCACAAUCUUUCACAUUAAAGUCAUUCAGUGUCAGUGAGUCCUCAGUUGACAGGCUACGAAUGAAUUCUCUUGAAAAUUCAUCUCAGCUUUCUUUUUCAACUAAGGAGUAUUCUCACCCUGGCUGAGAUUCAUCACAGCUGGCUAAGGAAAAAGGCAAACAUGUAUUUAGAUUUAGGAGUGAGGUCUGGGCCACCUCCACCUACGUCUUCAGCACUGGCUGAAAUUUGGGGCGCGUUCCUUGUCUCAGCUUUCCUCCCGCCGAAUGGCAUCCUGUACUCAUCCCCCUUGGCCACCUACUCAGCAGAGCUCCCAAGGCCAAAGGGGUCUCCUUGACCAGAGUAGCAUCCCUGGCUGCUCUUUUCCAAGUUUGUGUCCUAGACUGGACCAGAUCUUUCUGCAGAUCUAGGGGGGGCUGCAGACCUUCCUCACGCAAGUCCGGCUCACUUGCAUGUCAUGGUAUCCCCAUUUCACGAUUGCCUUCCAGAAGGAAGGGCAAACAACAAUUAACACUUUAUGUCCCUUGAGCAAAUUUUUAGUAUCUGGUCUGAUCAAGCUGCCACCAUCUCAACCAACCACUUCAAAAAUUGAGGUUUUUUUAUUCAGUCCUUGAUUCCCCCAAUCUGUUAGGCUCAGGACUUUUGCCUUAAAUUCAAAUGGUAAAAGAAGAUAAUCAGGGAUGAUGGGUGAUUAUUCCCAGUUUGUGUUUCCUGGACCCUGACAACAGCUUUGCAACUAUUAUCUCCAUAUUUACAGUGGGUCUCAGUCUCCUAUCACAUUAUCUCCCCAUUACACAUGGAGACCCUCCUUCUGACUGGAGACUCCAGUGUUCAGGAAAGAAAUGCUCCUGGAGGUCAGAAGACCUAGGAUGGGGAAUAAAAUAGAUAUAACUACCUGAGCGUUCCCAAAGCAUUUCAAAGGGGCAGUCUGAGAAGGUACAAUUUAAAAAGCAGCAUCCUACACCCUGUAUUUCAGAUAGGAAGAAAAUGAGUGGGUUUGGUGUUUUUUAUACAUUGUCAUGAGACUGAAGCUAUAACUGGCAAAACACUCAAACAACUGAAUAUUUAUAGCCCACCAGAAUAUUGCUCAGCCAAUACAAAAUUACUUACCUUUACUUUUAUUUGCAUAGUGCUUUCUGAUUGGGUAGAAGAGGAGUGGUGUGUCCUGCAGGAUUCUAACAUCUCUGCUAUCCUUGGAGAUAGCAAAUUCCUGUGGUUAUUGGUGCUAAAAUAAGAUUAAAUAUUAUGUUAAUUUGUUCUGAUAUGAUGUGAAUAAUUGUGUUGUUUAAUCUUACCAAGAAUGCAACAUCUUAUCAGAUCUAUUGUACUGUCUGUUCCUUCUCAUAAUUAAUUACAGGAAAGAUGAUCAGAACCAGAUUUUAAAUUAUUGUGAUAUUCUGAAAAGUAAAUUUAACAGGGAAAUGGGAGGGGGGAAUUAAAAGGGAAAUUGCCAGGUUCCUGCAACUUUGAAAGGACUGAGGAAGAAGAGAGCAUUUUGGGACUUCACCGAAAAACUGACUGCAUCUUGCAAUUUUCUUUUUCAAUUGGCAGAAAUAUUGUAUUUUCAUCGAUUGAAGAAAAAAGUGUCUGGUAAUUAAUUAAAUGACUUGUUCAUGGAAAAAUAAAAAUAAAUAAUCUGUCAGUUGUGGAAUGUAAA